GACGAACGCUGGCGGCGUGCUUAACACAUGCAAGUCGAACGGAAAGGCCCUGCUUUUGUGGGGUGCUCGAGUGGCGAACGGGUGAGUGACACGUGAGUAACCUGCCCUUGACUUUGGGAUAACUUCAGGAAACUGGGGCUAAUACCGGAUAGGAGCUCCUGCUGCAUGGUGGGGGUUGGAAAGUUUCGGCGGUUGGGGAUGGACUCGCGGCUUAUCAGCUUGUUGGUGGGGUAGUGGCUUACCAAGGCUUUGACGGGUAGCCGGCCUGGGAGGGUGACCGGCCACAUUGGGCCGGAGGUAGGCCCAAGACUCCAACGGGAGGCAGCGGUGGGAAAUUUGGCACAAGGGGCGGAGGCCGGGGGCAGAAGCGCCGGGUGCGGAAGAACGGCUUUGGGGUUGAAACCCGCUUUCGCCGGUGACGAGGCGUGAGUGACGGUAAGGGGUAAGAAAGCACCGGCUAACUACGUG
This 468-nucleotide ribosomal RNA is filed under the name uncultured bacterium. RNAcentral's name for it is "partial 16S ribosomal RNA". It matches the Rfam family "Bacterial small subunit ribosomal RNA", at positions 28 to 507 of the family's 1533-position model. The record is from RNAcentral.